This 99-nucleotide signal recognition particle RNA is filed under the name Sediminispirochaeta smaragdinae DSM 11293. Its description in RNAcentral is "Spirochaeta smaragdinae DSM 11293 Bacterial small signal recognition particle RNA". It matches the Rfam family "Bacterial small signal recognition particle RNA". Rfam says of the family: The signal recognition particle (SRP) is a universally conserved ribonucleoprotein involved in the co-translational targeting of proteins to membranes. Archaeal SRP consists of a 7S RNA and homologues of the eukaryotic SRP19 and SRP54 proteins. The record is from Rfam by way of RNAcentral. Lineage: Bacteria; Pseudomonadati; Spirochaetota; Spirochaetia; Spirochaetales; Spirochaetaceae.
GGUCAGGUCCUGCGCUAUUGUCCACCGCCCAACUCCGUCAGGACCGGAAGGUAGCAGCGGUAAGCGGACGGAUGAUGAGCCGCAACCGGCUUGAUCGGU